GUGUCAGCAGCCGCGGUAAUACAGAGGGUGCAAGCGUUGUUCGGAAUUAUUGGGCGUAAAGCGCGUGUAGGCGGCUUGGCAAGUCAGAUGUGAAAGCCCUCGGCUUAACCGAGGAAGUGCGUCUGAAACUGCUGAGCUUGAGUCUCGGAGAGGAUGGCGGAAUUCCGCAAGUAGAGGUGAAAUUCGUAGAUAUGCGGAGGAACACCGGUGGCGAAGGCGGCCAUCUGGACGAGUACUGACGCUGAGACGCGAAAGCGUGGGGAGCAAACAGGAUUAGAUACCCUGGUAGUCC
Molecule: ribosomal RNA, 292 nt
Filed under: uncultured bacterium
Lineage: Bacteria
Description: partial 16S ribosomal RNA
Rfam family: Bacterial small subunit ribosomal RNA
Source: RNAcentral